GUACAUUAGUGCUUGCGCACGACACUAAUUUCAUUACAUUCGAGUGUGUGUAAAAAUCCUCUGCCGGCCGAGGCUAGCAGAGGCCAAAGGUGCACAGGGUUUGGAUGAAAAAGUCACCGACGUGCACUUGCCGAAACCGGCCAGCACAGAAGGCAACGAUUCGCAAUCAUUAAUGAUCCUUCCGCAGGUUCACCUACGGAAA
RNAcentral lists this unclassified non-coding RNA (202 nucleotides) under uncultured fungus. RNAcentral describes it as "sequence contains ITS1". Lineage: Eukaryota; Fungi. The record is from RNAcentral.